UGAGGAAUAUUGGUCAAUGGGCGAGAGCCUGAACCAGCCAAGUCGCGUGAGGGAAGACGGUCCUACGGAUUGUAAACCUCUUUUGUCGGGGAGUAAUAGGCGGGACGUGUCCUGCUGUGAGAGUACCCGAAGAAAAAGCAUCGGCUAACUCCGUGCCAGCAGCCGCGGUAAUACGGAGGAUGCAAGCGUUAUCCGGAAUUAUUGGGUUUAAAGGGUGCGUAGGCUGUUUUGCAAGCCAGGGGUGAAAGCCCGGAGCUCAACUCCGGAACUGCCUUUGAUACUGCGAGGCUGGAAUACGGAUGCCGUGGGAGGAAUGAGUAGUGUAGCGGUGAAAUGCAUAGAUAUUACUCAGAACACCGAUUGCGAAGGCAUCUCACGAAUCCGUCAUUGACGCUGAGGCACGAAAGCGUGGGG
RNAcentral lists this ribosomal RNA (414 nucleotides) under uncultured bacterium. RNAcentral's name for it is "bacterial SSU rRNA". It matches the Rfam family "Bacterial small subunit ribosomal RNA", at positions 355 to 766 of the family's 1533-position model. The record is from RNAcentral.